CAAGACACACAUGCACGACGGCGCCUACAUGACACCCGACGACCCAACACCUUAAUCAAAAACAUCCUCGGUAGUACCCAUGCAAAACGAUCCGUGAUAGUACGAUACCAAAUCUAGCCAAUGUAUGCAUAUGAUUCCAAAUGAUGAUGAGUUCAGCAGCUUCAGCUGUACUGAACGAUGGAGCGGUAGAAGGUGCUGGGCUCCCAGUUGGCCGGGAUGACCUUGUCGGCCACCAGCGUCUUGCCGGACUCGUUGGUGAUGCGCAUGGAGAAGGGCGCCUGGAGGCGGUGGCCGGAGUCCAGCCGCCAGAUUGAUCCCCACGACUCGCGCAUCGGCGUCCACGUACCGGAGUUGGCCUCCAUGAGGUCCACCUGCACCACGUCGCCGUCGCCGUCCUCGUACUCCACCAGCACGGCGAAGUACACCGGGUUCGACCCCUGCUCCACGUGGAAGGUCACCUUGAGACCAGGGAACUCGCACGGCACUCUGCACCAAUCAUCAUCAACAAUCAGCAAACCAUGUGCAGUUGUAACUUAGUUUGCAACCGAGCCGGAUCGACGGCAAAUAAGUGUGAGGCGACGGUACUGAAAACAGAGUAGUACGUGUUCGCUGCGAAUCUAUUUGGGUCCCAGUUAAACCGGUCGUUGUCGUGAAAGUUUUGUUGGGCAAAAGCACUAGUUUUAUAGUAUGAUUCUGUUCAUCGUUCUGGUAGGGCCAGAUAGGAUUGGUGCAACGAAUGAUGAAAUGGCACCGACCUCUUGAACUGGAUGUCGAUGAUGCCGGAGUGCCGGAGCUUCUCGCUGAGGCCGGGCUUGGCCAUGGCGCCGAACGCGGUGCCACUCAGGUCGAAGUGGUACUUGGCAACCGGGUAGUAGUUCAUGUCGGUGAUGACCACCGUCUCCGGGUUGCCGGAGCAGGACUGGUCGUUGGUGCACCGUAUCUGAAAAAGGCAAAAGAAAACGAUCAGAAAUCAAGAUUAACACUGUUUCACCAGCUCCAUUUCCACCACGGCAGGGGCAAAGCACCACCACCAACAACAACCCUCGUCGUGGAAAAGGGUAAAAACCAUGGCAAAUCAACGAGCUAGUCUAGCUAGCUACCUGGUAGCAGGAGCCGCAUCCCUUGCCAUCCUUGAAGAUGGGCUCGUUGCCGCACGAUGUCAUGGAGGAGAAGGGGUACUGGUUGGUGUUCUUGAACCCGCACGCACCACCUGAAUGCACAUCGAUCACCGUAUGUCAUUACACAAACGAUCAAUUAAGCGAACGCCGCGGCGCCGUGCAUGCACCGGCGCAUACGGGUGGACGUACCGUCGUCCAUGGGGCCGGCACCCGUGGGCGCGCCGUACCAGGUGGCCCUGGCGUCCUCCCAGUUGGGGUCGGCGGUGAAGGCGGAAUCGUUGAAGGUCCCGGCGCCGGCAGCGGCGUAGGUGACGAGGAGGGAGGACAGUGCAACGAGUGCAACGGCCUUAGACGAGAGAGGAGCCAUGUCAAAGCAACGCUGCUUCUUCAGGCUUGUGGGGGUAGUGUACCAGCGCACUGACCAGGCCGGGUUGG
Molecule: long non-coding RNA, 1553 nt
Filed under: Hordeum vulgare
Lineage: Eukaryota; Viridiplantae; Streptophyta; Magnoliopsida; Poales; Poaceae
Description: long non-coding RNA (HVUL_LNC001572)
Source: RNAcentral